GUAAAAUAUUCAAGGGUAAUGUGUAGAAGAUUUUAACAGGAAGUUCAACAUCAAUAUAAGAGAUGGCCAGCUCAAAAACACAUACUGGAUCUAUCAAUAAGGAACAAUCUGCUCUACUUUGCCAAUUAUGUGAAAAUGAGCCAAAAUUCAAAUGGAAGUGUUUACAGUGUUCUUUGAUGAUGUGUCAAAGAUGCAAAGACAACGUUCAUCCGAAAUUUAAAUCUGCAGAAAGUCGCCAAAUUGUUGACCUGAAAGAUGUGGGAAAGUUAAAUUAUUAGGAAGAGAUAGAUUUCUCCCAAUUCAAGUGCGUUGAACAUUCUGGGCAGCCAUGCUGCUUAUUUUGCGAAGGUUGCAAUGUCAUGGUUUGUCCUAGUUGCGUUGAUGGAAUCCACAAUAAACAUAAACUAGUUGAAAUAAAGGUGGAAAUACAGAGAAAAGUGGUGAGUGUUUGGAACAGAAUAAAACUCAAUGAACUUGCAUUGAAAGAACUAAAGGAGAAUGACAGGAAAUUGAGAGAAAUUUAUUCAAGAGAAAAGGAUAAUUAUGAUAAAUCAGGUGACAAAAUUCUGGAACAAGAAAACGCAUCCUUCACAUUUUACAAAAUCAUACAAAAACACUAAAAGAUGAACUUAACGA
Molecule: long non-coding RNA, 636 nt
Filed under: Mytilus galloprovincialis (Mediterranean mussel)
Lineage: Eukaryota; Metazoa; Mollusca; Bivalvia; Mytilida; Mytilidae
Source: RNAcentral